GAGUUUGAUCCUGGCUCAGGACGAACGCUGGCGGCGUGCUUAACACAUGCAAGUCGAACGAUGAUCCGGUGCUUGCACCGGGGAUUAGUGGCGAACGGGUGAGUAACACGUGAGUAACCUGCCCUUGACUCUGGGAUAAGCCUGGGAAAACCGGGUCUAAUACCGGAUAUGACUUCUCACCGCAUGGUGGGGGGUGGAAAGAUUUUUUGGUUUUGGAUGGACUCGCGGCCUAUCAGCUUGUUGGUGGGGUAAUGGCCUACCAAGGCGACGACGGGUAGCCGGCCUGAGAGGGUGACCGGCCACACUGGGACUGAGACACGGCCCAGACUCCUACGGGAGGCAGCAGUGGGGAAUAUUGCACAAUGGGCGCAAGCCUGAUGCAGCGACGCCGCGUGAGGGAUGAC
This 404-nucleotide ribosomal RNA is filed under the name uncultured Actinomycetes bacterium. RNAcentral's name for it is "bacterial SSU rRNA". It matches the Rfam family "Bacterial small subunit ribosomal RNA", at positions 9 to 412 of the family's 1533-position model. The record is from RNAcentral. Lineage: Bacteria; Bacillati; Actinomycetota; Actinomycetes.